Molecule: ribosomal RNA, 207 nt
Filed under: uncultured bacterium
Lineage: Bacteria
Description: partial 16S ribosomal RNA
Rfam family: Bacterial small subunit ribosomal RNA
Source: RNAcentral
AGCGUAGACGGAUUAGCAAGUCUGAUGUGAAAGGCAGGGGCUCAACCCCUGGACUGCAUUGGAAACUGCCAGUCUUGAGUGCCGGAGAGGUAAGCGGAAUUCCUAGUGUAGCGGUGAAAUGCGUAGAUAUUAGGAGGAACACCAGUGGCGAAGGCGGCUUACUGGACGGCAACUGACGUUGAGGCUCGAAAGCGUGGGGAGCAAACA